Pyrgilauda ruficollis (rufous-necked snowfinch) is the source of this 341-nucleotide long non-coding RNA. RefSeq lists it as uncharacterized. The record is from RefSeq and is a predicted model, not a curated record. The transcript is spliced from 4 exons. Lineage: Eukaryota; Metazoa; Chordata; Aves; Passeriformes; Passeridae.
CCCCACCAGCCCUCAGGGACGGUCAUUUAAAAAAAUCACAAAGCACUAAAGCGAGAAUCAGCCCUGAUGGGAAAUCCUUGUCUAUUGCACUGUGCAGCAAAAAUAAUGUGGGAAAAAACCGUCUACUUUGCAUGCGAGUGUUCCAGAGGGAAACUGAGUCAUGGGAUGUGUCCAAGGGCCCAAGAUAAGAGCUCAGCCAGCCAAAUCCCACUCCAAGUGACUUCUCUCCCCUACAGAGCAAGAAGAGCUUCUGCAGCUGAAGCUGAAGAGGAUUUUUAAUCUGCUUCCACUGCCAGUUGAAGGUCUUGGACUUCUAAGCUCUGAAUGUGUCUGUGCCAAGC